RNAcentral lists this long non-coding RNA (1166 nucleotides) under Homo sapiens (human). RNAcentral's name for it is "HSALNT0124728". The record is from RNAcentral. Lineage: Eukaryota; Metazoa; Chordata; Mammalia; Primates; Hominidae.
UACAGCUUAUGUCUGAACAAUUUUGAUGAGACAUAGUCCAAAAACAUUUGUCUAGGGGAAGGCUUAAGUCACUCCGAGUGGAUAAACUGGCACGUCUAAGUCUCCUGCUUUGUAGGAAAUGUUUGCUGACCCCUGCCUUAGACUGUAAGUUUCAGGAAAAAAAGACUUUCUGAAUAUGUAAUUUUCUGCAUACAAUUCCUAAUCCAACUUUGUACUUAGGCCUUCUUCAAUAAAGAAUUUCGGAUGAAGUACAUGUUAUUCUGUAUGACAGUCUGUUGUUUCCAAGAGAAUAAUAACAAGCUGUCCUUGAAAAGAAUGGCUGGUGAUGGAAUUAGCUCUAGAGAAUUUAAGGUAGUAUUUGCCAAGAAAGAAGGUCAGUCUGAUAUUGUGUCAAACAUAUCCUUUAUUAACCUGAAUAAGUAAAUAUAUGAAUAAGUAAAUAUACCUAAUAAAUUACGAAGUGCUUGGUGAGUUACCUGACCAUUGUUUUUAAAUGUUCUCAUUAGCAUUUCUUGUCUGUAAUAAAUGAUUUUAAAUUUCGUGUUUCUCCGAAAUGGUAUUUUAAAUUCCCUGAAAGAAAUAUUCUCAAUUUUUCAUGGGAGAGAAUGGCUAGGAAAUUCUUUUUCAUAACUGUGAUCUAGCUUGUGUACUCAGGUAACUGAUAAAGUAAUGGAUCAGUCAUCUAUAGAAUACAUGCCUAUUCCAAAGUGGUUACUGCUGUAUGUCAUGGCAUCUGUAAUUGGCCUAAAAAGCGAUAAAUCUGUUUUUGUAAAGUAACCCAAAAGACCCCAUUAAAAGUGGUAUUUUAAAUGUCAGUGAGCAUGUAUUCUAUUUAAUUUAUGUUAAUAGGCCAUAAAUGGGAGAAAAUUGAUGAAAAAUAUUACCUUUUCUGCAUGUUAAAACUCAGGAGUAAUUAUUUUUCAUUUUUCACUUAAGGAUAAGCAGGUGUUUAACACAACAUUAAAUAAAUGCCUCAGUACCACAAGGUGAUAAAUGUGUAACAUUUAACAGAUGAGUAAAUUAAAAUUGUGUCUAAAACAGCACAAACAAGAAAAAAUUUAAAUAUGAGUACACACACAGUAUAUAACAUGGUGUGACACCACUUACCUACAAAGCAGGAGACUUAGACAUGCCAGUUUACACCUGAAAUGGCUUAAACCUUCCCC